GAGGGAGUAAAUGUUGUAGAAUUAUAUGACAAUCAUGACUUUUUAAUCCUGAAAUUUUUUUAUCCUUAAGGUUGACACAUUGAAAAAUAUUUGAGGAAAAUCCAUCUGAGACCUUUAAAUUCUUCAAAAAUUUGAAAAACUUUUGCUUAUCUUCAUCAGAUAAUGUGUAAGGUGCUGCUGGCAACUCAUAUUUAUCUCCAUUUUGUAUUGGAUGCAAUUCUUUUCAUAUUUUCAUUUGUUGUAAAUCCAACCAAGUACUCAAGGUGUCUUUUGUUUUCCCUUUGACAUCUAAGAUUGUCCCCAAAAUCUGUCACAUAUAUUCUUUUCAAUGUGCAUCACAUCAAGAUUAUGUCGCAACAAUAAGGUUUUCCAGCAUGGAAGAUCAAAGAAUAUACUCUUCUUAUUCCAGUUAUCACCCCUUUUCUUGUGUGAUAUUUUAAUCUUCUUUUGUUGAUCCUUUGUUAAUGGCAACCCAUCUAAAUCAGCAACCUGAUCAAGAAUAUCAUCA
This 508-nucleotide long non-coding RNA is filed under the name Solanum tuberosum (potato). RNAcentral's name for it is "long non-coding RNA (STUB_LNC006309)". The record is from RNAcentral. Lineage: Eukaryota; Viridiplantae; Streptophyta; Magnoliopsida; Solanales; Solanaceae.